CCCAUGUUGGGGUUUAAAUAUAGAAUUUGGAUAAUAGGCAAUGGACUUAUAUUACAGCAAGGGAGGUUUAGGUUGGACUUUAGGGAAAACUUCCUAACUGUCCGGGUAGUUAAGCACUGAAAUAAAUUGCCUAGGGAGGUAGUGAAAUUGCUGUCAUUGGCAAUUUUUAAAAGCAGGUUAGACAAGCGCAUGCCAUGGAUGGUCUUGAUAAUACUUAGUCCUACCUCAUUGCAGGUAACUGGACUAGAAGACUGCUUGUGGUCCCUUCCAGUCCUACGAUUCUAUGCCUUAGUCUUCUGAAUCCUGCAUGUCUCUCUUUUGUGUGCUGUGGAUCCGCAAGCCUCACAAUCAUGUAAAUUGUAUAGUGUUCUGUGCCAAGGCAUUCAGCCUUGUGUGGCCAUUGGGUAGAGUGGUUCAUCACUCCCUUUUAGGAAACGGUUCAUUUUUCCAACCCAUGAAUGACUAUGGAGUAUUCCAGACAGACAUAACAACCUACAGCAUUGAGGAGCCGGUAGCAGUUACAUCUGAACGCACCCCAAAAAACACAAUGGUGCAUCUCUCUCUGAGCAAGCAGCCUCCAUUCUGA
Molecule: long non-coding RNA, 586 nt
Filed under: Gopherus agassizii (Agassiz's desert tortoise)
Lineage: Eukaryota; Metazoa; Chordata; Testudines; Testudinidae
Description: lncRNA (ENSGAGG00000016717.1)
Source: RNAcentral